UACGUAGGCAGCAAGCGUUGUUCGGAGUCACUGGGCGUAAAGGGUGUGUAGGCGGUCGUUUAAGUUUGGUGUGAAAUCUUCCGGCUCAACUGGGAGGGUGCGCCGAAUACUGAAUGACUUGGAGUGCGGGAGAGGAAAGUGGAAUUCCUGGUGUAGCGGUGAAAUGCGUAGAUAUCAGGAGGAACACCAGCGGCGAAGGCGGCGCUCUGGGCCGGUACUGACGCUGAGGAGCGAAAGCGUGGGGAGCAAACCGG
RNAcentral lists this ribosomal RNA (254 nucleotides) under uncultured bacterium. RNAcentral describes it as "partial 16S ribosomal RNA". It matches the Rfam family "Bacterial small subunit ribosomal RNA", at positions 524 to 776 of the family's 1533-position model. The record is from RNAcentral.